AAAGGGAGACCUAAUUCAGGUAUAAGACGAAAAAAAAGUAGUCCCUACCAAGAAUCAAUCCCAAAAGGUCGGAACGAGGUAUGAGGCUUUCAAACUAGGUUCUGGGUUCAUAAAAGACCUGAAUCAGGAACAAGGGCUAUUAGCUCAGGUGGUUAGAGCGCACCCCUGAUAAGGGUGAGGUCCCUGGUUCGAGUCCAGGAUGGCCCACCUGCACAGGUGGUAAAAACAAGAGAAGCGAGGAAUCAGCACCUUAUCUUACUUACAUAGUAAGAGAGAAUGCUGGCUCUGAGUAAAGAGUCCAGAGGAACCUUGAAAACUGCAUAGAGCUAGGUGAAAAAGCCAAAAAAGAAGACCGUCAG
Molecule: transfer RNA, 359 nt
Filed under: uncultured Microcystis sp.
Lineage: Bacteria; Bacillati; Cyanobacteriota; Cyanophyceae; Chroococcales; Microcystaceae
Description: partial 16S-23S ribosomal RNA intergenic spacer
Rfam family: tRNA (bases 134-207)
Source: RNAcentral